RNAcentral lists this unclassified non-coding RNA (313 nucleotides) under plant metagenome. Its description in RNAcentral is "partial contains 5.8S ribosomal RNA, internal transcribed spacer 2, and large subunit ribosomal RNA". The stretch from base 1 to 104 matches the Rfam family "5.8S ribosomal RNA", at positions 50 to 154 of the family's 154-position model. The record is from RNAcentral.
GAAAUGCGAUAAUUAAUGUGAAUUGCAGAAUUCAGUGAAUCAUCGAGUCUUUGAACGCACAUUGCGCCCCCUGGUAUUCCGGGGGCAUGCCUGUCCGAGCGUCAUUGCUGCCCUCAAGCACGGCUUGUGUGUUGGGCUUCCGUCCCUGGCAACGGGGACGGGCCCAAAAGGCAGUGGCGGCACCAUGUCUGGUCCUCGAGCGUAUGGGGCUUUGUCACCCGCUCCCGUAGGUCCAGCUGGCAGCUAGUCUCGCAACCAAUCUUUUUAACCAGGUUGACCUCGGAUCAGGUAGGGAUACCCGCUGAACUUAAGC